RNAcentral lists this ribosomal RNA (253 nucleotides) under uncultured bacterium. RNAcentral's name for it is "partial 16S ribosomal RNA". It matches the Rfam family "Bacterial small subunit ribosomal RNA", at positions 524 to 776 of the family's 1533-position model. The record is from RNAcentral.
UACGUAGGGUGCGAGCGUUAAUCGGAAUUACUGGGCGUAAAGCGUGCGCAGGCGGUUCGUUGUGUCUGAUGUGAAAGCCCCGGGCUCAACCUGGGAAUGGCAUUGGAAACUGGCGAGCUAGAGUGUGGCAGAGGGGGGUGGAAUUCCGCGUGUAGCAGUGAAAUGCGUAGAGAUGCGGAGGAACACCGAUGGCGAAGGCAGCCCCCUGGGCUGACACUGACGCUCAUGCACGAAAGCGUGGGGAGCAAACAGG